CCUACGGGGGGCAGCAGUGAGGAAUAUUGGUCAAUGGACGAGAGUCUGAACCAGCCAAGUAGCGUGAAGGAUGACUGCCCUAUGGGUUGUAAACUUCUUUUAUAUGGGAAUAAAAUGUUACACGUGUGGGAUUUUGUAUGUACCAUAUGAAUAAGGAUCGGCUAACUCCGUGCCAGCAGCCGCGGUAAUACGGAGGAUCCGAGCGUUAUCCGGAUUUAUUGGGUUUAAAGGGAGCGUAGGUGGAUUGUUAAGUCAGUUGUGAAAGUUUGCGGCUCAACCGUAAAAUUGCAGUUGAUACGGGCAGGCUUGAGUACAGUAGAGGUGGGCGGAAUUCGUGGUGUAGCGGUGAAAUGCUUAGAUAUCACGAAGAACUCCGAUUGCGAAGGCAGCUCACUGGACUGCAACUGACACUGAGGCUCGAAAGUGUGGGUAUCAAACAGGAUUAGAUACCCCUGUAGUC
Molecule: ribosomal RNA, 460 nt
Filed under: uncultured bacterium
Lineage: Bacteria
Description: partial 16S ribosomal RNA
Rfam family: Bacterial small subunit ribosomal RNA
Source: RNAcentral